RNAcentral lists this ribosomal RNA (397 nucleotides) under uncultured bacterium. Its description in RNAcentral is "partial 16S ribosomal RNA". It matches the Rfam family "Bacterial small subunit ribosomal RNA", at positions 523 to 918 of the family's 1533-position model. The record is from RNAcentral.
AUACGUAGGGGGCGAGCGUUGUCCGGAAUGAUUGGGCGUAAAGGGCGCGUAGGCGGCCCGGUAAGUCUGGAGUGAAAGUCCUGUUUUUAAGAUGGGAAUUGCUUUGGAUACUGUCGGGCUUGAGUGCAGGAGAGGUAAGUGGAAUUCCCAGUGUAGCGGUGAAAUGCGUAGAGAUUGGGAGGAACACCAGUGGCGAAGGCGACUUACUGGACUGUAACUGACGCUGAAGCGCGAAAGUGUGGGGAGCAAACAGGAUUAGAUACCCUGGUAGUCCACACUGUAAACGAUGAAUGCUAGGUGUAGGGGGUAUCGACCCCUUCUGUGCCGCAGUCAACACAAUAAGCAUUCCGCCUGGGGAGUACGGCCGCAAGGUUGAAACUCAAAUGAAUUGGCGGGG